UAAUAACCAUACGACGGAAAAUAUUUCGUUUCGUACAUUGAGAACUUGAUAUAAUCUACAGAUAUUAAAAAUAGAAAAAUGUCUGUACGGGACAUAUCACUUCGCACCGUGAGUGUUGUCUUGGCGGGAAAUUGGCAAUGAAAAAUUCAGACAGAUUAGAAACAAACGAGAAACGAUUUUAAUAUUAAAAUAAUUUCUGUUUCCCGUGUAUCCGGGAGAAUUCAAAAAAAAAAAAAAAUUAAAUUCAAAUUGAAAAGUCCUUCAAGAUUUUUUCGGUGAAGCGUUCAGACAUUUCAAAUAGCUGUGUAGAUUUUAUCAAAAAUCGCGGUGUGUAUUAUCGUCAUUAUAUUGUUGUCGGUA
Cinara cedri is the source of this 360-nucleotide non-coding RNA. Lineage: Eukaryota; Metazoa; Arthropoda; Insecta; Hemiptera; Aphididae. The record is from the annotation of a GenBank genome assembly.